Molecule: long non-coding RNA, 641 nt
Organism: Gymnogyps californianus (California condor)
Lineage: Eukaryota; Metazoa; Chordata; Aves; Accipitriformes; Cathartidae
Exons: 3
Source: RefSeq, a predicted model, not a curated record
AUGCGAUGGGGUAGUCAGAGCAGACCUUGCUUCUGUCCACACAUACCUGUGCCCUCUGCAAGCAAGGCCUAAGGAGGAGAUGUGAGAGAGCUGGGAAGAGGCCCCUACUACUGCUCUCAGCAUCCAGAAAGUACAACUACAAGCAACCAAGUGCUUUGCCUCACUGCUCUUGGAGUGUUCCUGGUACACCUCGAAGGGCUGAAGCAGCAGUGCAGAGAUGUGCAAUGCUUCCACCUAUUAAAAUUUGUUUUGAAGAUAGCUGGUUCUAGGAUAUGUGAGGUCCAAGAAGUCGGCAAAUAAAGUGUCACAGUGCAUGUCUUCCUAUAUCCUGUCAAGGACUUCUCAGACCUCAGAAUUGCUAUAUUACUGUGUCGUAGCAGCCCCCUUGUCAUUGGUGCCCAAAGGUAGGGGUGCACUAGACCAUACUAGGCAGGCAAACUGGACUUGUUUUUCUAGUGAUUUCAAUUUUAGCUUCUGAGCUCCUUAAGAAAAUACUAACUAGUCUGUAAGUUCUGGGCAACAUACUGUAUAAGAUAUCAUCCACUCCUACUUGUUGUGCUACAAUCUACUUUCCACAGAAGUGUUUCUUCAGCCUAACAAAUUUAUGAUGUCUCUGCUUUCUACAUAAUUAAAUAUGUACA